GGCGGUGUAGCUCAGUUGGUUAGAGCAGCGGAAUCAUAAUCCGCGUGUCGGGGGUUCGAAUCCCUCCACCGCUAC
RNAcentral lists this transfer RNA (75 nucleotides) under Gimesia panareensis. Its description in RNAcentral is "tRNA-Met". It matches the Rfam family "tRNA". Rfam says of the family: Transfer RNA (tRNA) molecules are approximately 80 nucleotides in length. The record is from RNAcentral. Lineage: Bacteria; Pseudomonadati; Planctomycetota; Planctomycetia; Planctomycetales; Planctomycetaceae.